UAGCGUAUAGUACCGUGAGGGAAAGGUGAAAAGAACCCCGGGAGGGGAGUGAAAUAGAACCUGAAACCCUGCACUUACAAGCUGUGGAAGCACAUUUCUUGUGUGACCGCGUACUUUUUGUAGAACGGGCCAACGAGUUACGUUAAGUAGCAAGGUUAAGCACUUAAGGUGCGGAGCCGUAGCGAAAGCGAGUUUUAACUGAGCGUUCAGUUACUUGACGUAGACCCGAAACCGGGCGACCUACCCAUGAGCAGGAUGAAGCGAAAGUAAAAUUUCGUGGAGGUCCGAACCCACGAGCGUUGAAAAGCUCGGGGAUGACUUGUGGGUAGCGGUGAAAUUCCAAUCGAGCCCGGAGAUAGCUGGUUCUCCCCGAAAUAGCUUUAGGGCUAGCCUCAAGGUGAGAGAUACGGAGGUAGAGCACUGAAUGUCCUAGGGGGUAUUGCACCUACCGAAGACUAUUAAACUCCGAAUGCCGUCAUCUUAUACUUGGGAGUCAGACUGUGGGUGAUAAGAUUCAUAGUCGAAAGGGCAACAGCCCAGAUCGUCAGCUAAGGUCCCUAAAUGUAAGUUAAGUGGUAAAGGAUGUGGGAUUGCACAGACAACCAGGAUGUUGGCUUAGAAGCAGCCACUCAUUCAAAGAGUGCGUAAUAGCUCACUGGUCGAGUGAUCCUGCGCCGAAGAUUUCCGGGGCUAAAACUUACUACCGAAGCUACGGCAUCAGUAAUGAUGGGUAGGGGAGCUUCCCAUACGGGUUGAAGCAUGACCGUAAGGACAUGUGGACAGUAUGGGAGUGAGAAUGUUGGCAUGAGUAGCGAGAUGUGGGUGAGAAUCCCACAGGCCGUAAAC
RNAcentral lists this ribosomal RNA (846 nucleotides) under Clostridioides difficile. RNAcentral describes it as "partial 23S ribosomal RNA". It matches the Rfam family "Bacterial large subunit ribosomal RNA", at positions 488 to 1344 of the family's 2925-position model. Lineage: Bacteria; Bacillati; Bacillota; Clostridia; Peptostreptococcales; Peptostreptococcaceae. The record is from RNAcentral.